UGGGCCCUUGUGCCUGUUAGGCAAGCACUCUACCACUGAGCCACACAGCCAGCCAAAGCCUGGCUGUCAGUGGGGUACAUACAGCUGUAACCCCGGAAAAGAAGGAGAAGCCAAGGAAGCAUUUGGGAGGUGGCUUCGAUGAGGAGCUAUGGUCCCCCUCCUCCACCGUGCAAUCUGUAGAUUCAUUCCCAGGCCAAGAGCUGUUCCCGGCCAGCAAGUCAGAAGCGUUGGCAUGUUUUAUCUGGGCCAGGACAGCCCGCAGGCAGCCCCUGGCCCAGGCCACACUGAAUGCUUUAGUACUGUGAAUGAACCACAGCAGGGAGAUAGGGCCGUGUGGAUCUGUGGACACUAAGCAUUCACGUGGCUGAAGAGCUGAAUGGACAGGAAACACCAGCCUGGGAGGAUGACAGGAUGACCAAAGUUGUCAUAGGCUGCACUGAGAAGCAUCUGCCGCCCUCUGGAGCAGAAUGACCUACCCGCGGCUUUUGUUCUUGUGUCUUUUUACACAAAGAACUGAAGUACAGCUGUUGAGACACGUGCAUCGCCAUGUCUGCAGAGAAGACACCCGGCUACAGCAAGGCAUCCAUCGUCUACCCACGACGGAACCUUUCAGUCCCUAGCCUGGCCUGCUACAUCGUACCAGCCUUGUCUGCCACCUUGUGGCUAAAUGUCACCUCUGCGCUUAGUGACAACAGCUUGGAAGUUGCAGUUGCUGCUAAAAACAAAACAAAAAACAAAACAGUAAGGGAGAGGAUCGUGAGGAGAGAGCUCCGGAGAGCAAGGAAACCUUUCAACGGCUUCUGCUGCGCGCUGGGCACCUGAUACGGAGGCGACUGUGUACUUCCGGCUUCGACCCCCACAACUCCUGAACGUGGAGGAACUGGAGUUCUCACAGGCCGAGGGUGGCGCUAGGAAAUGGUGCGUUUACAUUGUAAAGUUUGAUGGUUUCUUCUCCUAGGGAAGGGGGAAUUAGAUGGAGGAGACAUCCUAGCCCCCACCAAGAGCAUUAGGUAACAGGCGUGUUAGAGAGCAUCUCGGGGUGCGCAUGUGCAUGGGACUCACCAAACGGAAUCUGCAGCACCGUUAAGCAAGGCUUAGCCACAGCUGACCUGAGCUCAAAACCCCACGCAGUCAUUUUCACGGUGGGAGGCAGCCAGAGCUUGCAGCUCAGCAGGAAAAAAAAAAAAUCUGUGUUGACAACCAUAUUGGAGCCUCAACCGUGAGACUUACUGUUGCUACUACACUGUUAUGUAAUCUUACACACCAAAACGUGAUUGGAUUUCAGACCCACACUUGACAGACCAUUUCUUAUGUCUGGCCUUGCUUGUAGCUCUAAUCGGAAACCAGACGCAGACAGUGACACGGGACUAUGGCCGGAGACCAUAUGGUGUGGGGGGCUUCCCGCUGCUUAGGAUGCUAAAAGUCCUCACAUUUCCCAAACCUGUCCAUCUGCUGUUUCAUCUGCAGUUACGUCCACUGGCGUGACUUCAACCAGCUCGCACCUACUUAGAAAAGCAUAUGUCUAAAGUUAUGAAAUGCGAUUUACGCGAACUGGUUAUACAUAGGCCGUGUGAGCCUUGAAAGAGAAACUUUCCGCAGAACAAAACCCAGCUAUAGAGGAUGUUCUCACUGGGACAGCCGGGAAAGACUGAGUCACCCGAAGGUCUCAAGGACCGUUAUGAUGGCAUGGCCUGCAGCGGAGGAACCAAUGGAACACAAAGCGGUAAAUCAAAGCGAUAUCAUCAAAUGAUAUCAUCAAACACGCCAGUGCGCUCAACUCUCUGAUGACAACAUUCUACUGUGAACCAGCAGAUACGGAGCAGUGGACCAAGCAGAUUAGAAAUUCAUGGAGUUUACAUGCCUGGUUUACAUAGUAAGUUCUAGGAUUGUUACACAGAGAGACUCUGUCUCCAAGCCAACCAACCAAAUAAAUAUUUUUCUUUAAUAGCUUUU
Molecule: long non-coding RNA, 1953 nt
Filed under: Rattus norvegicus (Norway rat)
Lineage: Eukaryota; Metazoa; Chordata; Mammalia; Rodentia; Muridae
Description: long non-coding RNA NONRATT031723
Source: RNAcentral